RNAcentral lists this ribosomal RNA (690 nucleotides) under uncultured bacterium. RNAcentral's name for it is "bacterial SSU rRNA". It matches the Rfam family "Bacterial small subunit ribosomal RNA", at positions 605 to 1293 of the family's 1533-position model. The record is from RNAcentral.
CGGCUUAACUGUGAGCGUGCGGGCGAUACGGGCAGACUUGAGUACUGCAGGGGAGACUGGAAUUCCUGGUGUAGCGGUGGAAUGCGCAGAUAUCAGGAGGAACACCGGUGGCGAAGGCGGGUCUCUGGGCAGUAACUGACGCUGAGGAGCGAAAGCGUGGGGAGCGAACAGGAUUAGAUACCCUGGUAGUCCACGCCGUAAACGGUGGGUACUAGGUGUGGGUUUCCUUCCUUGGGAUCCGUGCCGUAGCUAACGCAUUAAGUACCCCGCCUGGGGAGUACGGCCGCAAGGCUAAAACUCAAAGAAAUUGACGGGGGCCCGCACAAGCGGCGGAGCAUGUGGAUUAAUUCGAUGCAACGCGAAGAACCUUACCUGGGUUUGACAUGCACAGGACGCCGGCAGAGAUGUCGGUUCCCUUGUGGCCUGUGUGCAGGUGGUGCAUGGCUGUCGUCAGCUCGUGUCGUGAGAUGUUGGGUUAAGUCCCGCAACGAGCGCAACCCUUGUCCCAUGUUGCCAGCGGGUAAUGCCGGGGACUCGUGAGAGACUGCCGGGGUCAACUCGGAGGAAGGUGGGGAUGACGUCAAGUCAUCAUGCCCCUUAUGUCCAGGGCUUCACACAUGCUACAAUGGCCGGUACAAAGGGCUGCGAUGCCGCGAGGUUAAGCGAAUCCUUUUAAAGCCGGUCUCAGUU